This 499-nucleotide ribosomal RNA is filed under the name uncultured bacterium. Its description in RNAcentral is "bacterial SSU rRNA". It matches the Rfam family "Bacterial small subunit ribosomal RNA", at positions 8 to 526 of the family's 1533-position model. The record is from RNAcentral.
AGAGUUUGAUCCUGGCUCAGGACGAACGCUGGCGGCGCGCCUAACACAUGCAAGUCGAGCGAGAACCAGGGCUUGCCCUGGGGACAGCGGCGAACGGGUGCGUAACACGUGAGCAACCUGCCCCGAAGACCGGGACAAGCCGGGGAAACCUGGUCUAAUACCGGAUACCCUCACCGGAUCGCAUGGUCCGGCGAGGAAAUGGAUUCCGCUUCGGGAUGGGCUCGCGGUCUAUCAGCUUGUUGGUGGGGUAACGGCCUACCAAGGCGACGACGGAUAGCUGGUCUGAGAGGACGAUCAGCCACACUGGGACUGAGACACGGCCCAGACUCCUACGGGAGGCAGCAGUGGGGAAUCUUGCGCAAUGAGGGAAACCUUGACGCAGCGACGCCGCGUGCGGGAUGAAGGCCUUCGGGUUGUAAACCGCUUUCAGCAGGGACGAAAUUGACGGUACCGGUGGAAGAAGCCCCGGCUAACUUCGUGCCAGCCGCCGCGGUAAUUC